Molecule: unclassified non-coding RNA, 256 nt
Filed under: Hevea brasiliensis (rubber tree)
Lineage: Eukaryota; Viridiplantae; Streptophyta; Magnoliopsida; Malpighiales; Euphorbiaceae
Source: RNAcentral
CAGUUUCGGCAGAAAGAUGGGACUGAAAACCAGCGGGCGAGCUUUUCUGCCUGACCAAAGAACUACUAAUCUCAUUGAACCCAUACGAUCUCUGCAACCCACCACUGGCGCUGCUCUUAGGCGGCGGCCUUGGAUCGCUGGAUGAGUUGACUUUGCAAGUUGACUCUGAGGUGAGCGAGGACGAGUCACCAGAGAAGUACUGAUGACUCACUAACGAAGGCGAAGAAGAACCCAAGGCAGAGAAUUCACGGUCAGA